GUGGGGAAUAUUGCACAAUGGGCGCAAGCCUGAUGCAGCAACGCCGCGUGAGGGACGACGGCCUUCGGGUUGUAAACCUCUUUUAGCAGGGAAGAAGCGAAAGUGACGGUACCUGCAGAAAAAGCACCGGCUAACUACGUGCCAGCAGCCGCGGUAAUACGUAGGGUGCAAGCGUUGUCCGGCAUUAUUGGGCGUAAAGAGCUCGUAGGCGGUUUGUCGCGUCUGCUGUGAAAACCCGAGGCUCAACCUCGGGCCUGCAGUGGGUACGGGCAGACUAGAGUGCGGUAGGGGAGAUUGGAAUUCCUGGUGUAGCGGUGGAAUGCGCAGAUAUCAGGAGGAACACCGAUGGCGAAGGCAGAUCUCUGGGCCGUAACUGACGCUGAGGAGCGAAAGCGUGGGGAGCGAACAGGAUUAGAAACCCCAGUAGUCC
This 430-nucleotide ribosomal RNA is filed under the name uncultured bacterium. RNAcentral describes it as "partial 16S ribosomal RNA". It matches the Rfam family "Bacterial small subunit ribosomal RNA", at positions 354 to 796 of the family's 1533-position model. The record is from RNAcentral.